This 338-nucleotide long non-coding RNA is filed under the name Homo sapiens (human). RNAcentral describes it as "HSALNT0292783". Lineage: Eukaryota; Metazoa; Chordata; Mammalia; Primates; Hominidae. The record is from RNAcentral.
AGUCAUUUAGCCAGGCCCAGAGGGAACUGAAUGUAGAACACACCAGGUGUGGUGGGAAAUAAGAGGCAAGAAGCAUGGGGAAGUUCCAAAGCGUGGACACUUCUGGAGGAGAUCUACAGAGGAGCAUUCAUCACAAUUUGGAAGCACUGUUGUUCUCUCUUAUCCACGGUUUCAGUUAUGCAAGGUCAAUCGCAGUCUGAAAAUAGACACAGGGAUCACAUUUACGAAGGGAUCUUUCAAGAGCCUCAAAAGCAGGACUACUUCAUGAGCCAACUCGUAGUGACAAGCCCUGCCCCUGCAAGUGAGAAGGGGGGCGCUUCCAAAUCAAGCACCAUUUG